RNAcentral lists this small nucleolar RNA (118 nucleotides) under Mus caroli (Ryukyu mouse). Its description in RNAcentral is "snoRNA (MGP_CAROLIEiJ_G0036023.1)". It matches the Rfam family "Small nucleolar RNA SNORA17". Rfam says of the family: snoRNA ACA 17 belongs to the H/ACA family of snoRNAs and is predicted to guide pseudouridylation of the 28S rRNA at positions U4659 and U4598. The record is from RNAcentral. Lineage: Eukaryota; Metazoa; Chordata; Mammalia; Rodentia; Muridae.
CCUGCUCCUAGAGGCUACACGGGUAUGGCUGCUGUGUUACAUGUGGGUCAGUAGGUGGCAGAGAAGAAAGAGGCUAGGUCUGACCUUUGAUCAGCUGAAUGAUCAGUAGUCUAACAUU